CCUUCCUGCCUCUCCCAGCUUCUAGGGGCUCUUGACGUGGCUUGUGGCCACCUCACACCCGCCUCUGCCUCUGUCGCCAUGCCACCUCCUCCCUUGUGUCUGGGUCUCGCCUCUCCCCUUGUCAGAACACCCAGAUAAUCCAGGAUGGCCUCAUCCCGAGCUCCUUAACUCAGUUCCAUGUGAAGACCCACAGCAGCCUCUCCCCACCCAGCCCUGCCAUCCUCCCCUCUUCCAGGUUCAUCUCUGGCAGGCAGCCAUGCAGCAGGGAAGCGUGGAUCUGGGGAGCAGGCUCCGGCAGGUCAGGAGGACCCCAGCAGGGGUGAGUGGGAUACAGACAGCCCCUGGUGGCCAUCCAUGAGGAGACUGUGAGCCUAGGGGAGGGUGCUCUGCUGAGUGCUGAAGGGUCCAAAGGGCCACCUAACCGGGAGGACCGUGGCCGUGGGAGACUCUGUGGAGACCACUGCCUCAUCUGAGAGACAACAGUCUAGGGUGGUUCAAGGUGAAAUGUAAAAGCCAGGGGGCUUCCAGGCACCGUUUCAGGAAACCCCAACCUCCUACAGCCAGGGUUGGAGGGAGGCCAAGACCCAGAAGGCUGGACUCUCAGCAGGGCAGCAUCCCGUGGCAAGGCCAGAGCCAGAAAGAACAGGACUGGAGAUGCAGGAGACCAAGCAGCCCUUCCUGCUGGAAGACCCCCACAGUGACCUCUAACAUGAGACUUGCCUCCCAGGAUCUCCCUGGCUCCCCUUGUGGGACCAAACCAACCACAAGGGCAGGUCCCCACACUCUCCAGGGAGGCGCUGGGCUGGCUCAAAUCCCAGCAGGAUUUGGCCAACAGGGUCCAGGAAGGAGCUCGGGAUCCAUCCCUAGGCUGCCAGAUCCAGGGACGAGAAAGCGGGAGGGGAUCAACAGGAACUCACUCUCCUAAGACCAGGCUUUAACACCCUGGCAAGAACUUUGAGGGGCCACGGGCACCUAUGGUCUGCCAGGGCGGCUCUCGGAAGCUUUGCGGGGGCAGUGGAGCGGGGGCGGCCUGAGUCAACGCUGUGGCCCCACGGUGUGCAGCUGGAGGAAGGUCCUGUAUAUGGCUGGCACUGCUGGGGGGCACAGGUGAAGGCACAGAGCUCUCACAGGGAUGCGUGUCUGUGGCACUUCCACUGCCGUGCCCUCCUCUGCUAUUGAAGGCGGUGCUCUGCAGCUACACAGAACCUCAGGGGUCGUCUCAGUACAGGGGCUCUGGCCUGUGGGGUCCUCAGUGCUCAUGAAAGGCUGGGCUCAUGGAACUGGCUGGCAUGAAUGACUCUGGCCCUUUCUGCUCCUGAGAAACCCUCUCUUUUCAGGCAGUCUCUGUCCUUUCCGCCUGGCUCAGUCCCCUCUCCGUGAGGACACCUCUCCCUCAAGCCUCUGAGCGCCCCGAAUUGAGGCGGGCUGCUGCUGCAAUCUCCCGAAGCCCGGCCUGCCCCAGUGCAGACACUCUCUGUGGGUCUCCUGCUGUGAGCAGGGGCCUCGGGGGACCCCGAAUCCUCAGGGCGGAGCCCAUCACGGCACUUCCCUUGGAGAGAAGCUGGCAGAGGACAGCCAGAGUUCAGGAAGAAGCAAAUGCAGCCCGAUUCCCCUCUGUGCAAAUGCCUGCCCUCCCAGGCGGCUGGCUGGUGCACUCACCCUUUCAGUGCAUUAUUAAUGCCUGCAGCCCCAAACUAACAUGUCUCAAUAAUUAUCAAUACACGGGAUGUCGGGGAUGAGAACUCAGCAUCUGCGUCCCAGAAAAGCCCUCAUCCAGUCGGUCCUCAAUGAUGAGGCUGACAGCAGACAACUCAGCUUUUAGCUUUAGUGGGAACCACAACGUUUACUGCUCCUCCUUGGGUGGGUACUGAGUGUCACAUGGCUGCAGGAGACACGCCCACAGCCCCUCCGCAGAGCCCUGGUGGACAGCCUGGCUGUGCUCUGGCCCUCUGCAUCCAUUUGCAAUGUGACGCACCCCCAGCUCCAUGCGUGUGGGAAGU
Long non-coding RNA from Cebus imitator (Panamanian white-faced capuchin), 2000 nucleotides. RefSeq lists it as uncharacterized. NCBI's taxonomy places the organism in Eukaryota, Metazoa, Chordata, Mammalia, Primates, Cebidae. The transcript has 2 exons. The record is from RefSeq and is a predicted model, not a curated record.